GAUGAACGCUGGCGGCGUGCCUAAUACAUGCAAGUCGAGCGAACAGACGAGGAGCUUGCUCCUUUGACGUUAGCGGCGGACGGGUGAGUAACACGUAGGUAACCUACCUAUAAGACUGGGAUAACUUCGGGAAACCGGAGCUAAUACCGGAUAAUAUUUCGAACCGCAUGGUUCGAUAGUGAAAGAUGGCUUUGCUAUCACUUAUAGAUGGACCUGCGCCGUAUUAGCUAGUUGGUAAGGUAACGGCUUACCAAGGCAACGAUACGUAGCCGACCUGAGAGGGUGAUCGGCCACACUGGAACUGAGACACGGUCCAGACUCCUACGGGAGGCAGCAGUAGGGAAUCUUCCGCAAUGGGCGAAAGCCUGACGGAGCAACGCCGCGUGAGUGAUGAAGGUCUUCGGAUCGUAAAACUCUGUUAUUAGGGAAGAACAAACGUGUAAGUAGCUGUGCACGUCUUGACGGUACCUAACCAGAAAGCCACGGCUAACUACGUG
Molecule: ribosomal RNA, 497 nt
Filed under: uncultured bacterium
Lineage: Bacteria
Description: partial 16S ribosomal RNA
Rfam family: Bacterial small subunit ribosomal RNA
Source: RNAcentral